UGAACGCUGGCGGCGUGCCUAAUACAUGCAAGUCGAGCGAACAGAUAAGGAGCUUGCUCCUUUGACGUUAGCGGCGGACGGGUGAGUAACACGUGGGUAACCUACCUAUAAGACUGGAAUAACUCCGGGAAACCGGGGCUAAUGCCGGAUAAUAUUUAGAACCGCAUGGUUCUAAAGUGAAAGAUGGUUUUGCUAUCACUUAUAGAUGGACCCGCGCCGUAUUAGCUAGUUGGUGGGGUAAUGGCUUACCAAGGCAACGAUACGUAGCCGACCUGAGAGGGUGAUCGGCCACACUGGAACUGAGACACGGUCCAGACUCCUACGGGAGGCAGCAGUAGGGAAUCUUCCGCAAUGGGCGAAAGCCUGACGGAGCAACGCCGCGUGAGUGAUGAAGGUCUUCGGAUCGUAAAACUCUGUUAUUAGGGAAGAACAAAUGUGUAAGUAACUGUGCACGUCUUGACGGUACCUAAUCAGAAAGCCACGGCUAACUACGUGCCAGCAGCCGCGGUAAUA
RNAcentral lists this ribosomal RNA (513 nucleotides) under uncultured bacterium. Its description in RNAcentral is "bacterial SSU rRNA". It matches the Rfam family "Bacterial small subunit ribosomal RNA", at positions 30 to 525 of the family's 1533-position model. The record is from RNAcentral.